This is a long non-coding RNA of Columba livia (rock pigeon), 1851 nucleotides long. RefSeq lists it as uncharacterized. The record is from RefSeq and is a predicted model, not a curated record. Lineage: Eukaryota; Metazoa; Chordata; Aves; Columbiformes; Columbidae. The transcript is spliced from 2 exons.
CUUUGCCAACCUGGUAAGGCCAAGCCUUGGUCUCCGACCCACGGCUCUGAUUCUCUGCCUGGGGCUGAUCUAGCUGAGCCAUCGCAAUCAAUUCCUCCUGUCUGGCUCCCGAACUCAUACUGUGCUUAUGGAGCAGCCUCAGACCUUUGCACAUUGGGGUUAUUUGGGGAUCCAUCCCCACUUAUCUCUUUAUUAAAGCAAAAAUAAAACAACAAACAAACACCCCCCCAUCCCCCGAAACAAAAACAACCAAAAAACGACGCCCCCCCCAAAAAAAAAAAAAAACAAACCAACACAACAAAAUUAGAAUCAAAUCCUCUAAGACGUGCAGAACCAUCAACCUUUAACUUGGAAAAAGUUUAUUUUCAAGCAGUUAUUCAGUCCCAGUGAUCUAAAAUGCUGCGUGGCUUACAACCUCGAAACCAUGGAAAUUUCUGUUUGGAUAAUAGCCCAGAUCAAACAAUUUUCUGGCGAGCACCUCCCAGUUGAAGAUUGUUUUGUUUCUAGUGAAAUAAUUUAAGGAUUUUUAUUUUGUUUUACAACCAACAACACUGUAACAACAAGCUGUGCCUGUGCUGGACACUUUUGAAGAACAGUGGUGCAAGGAUGUGAAAGCUCCUCUGUGAAAUUCCGGGUUCUCAGUGUGAAGGAACAAGGUGUAUUUUUAAGUGCAGCAGCCAGUACUUGGCAUUUUUGCAGCUCUUUUUACAAGAAGUUGGUCAGCACUGAGCAGGAUUGCCUAGGAGACACAGAGCGGCAGAACUACUGGGCUGGCUCUGUGUUGCUGGAUGAGGGUGAGAAAAGGAAUGGAACAAGCUCAGCAAAGAAAUUUGUUUUCAAGUCUAACAAUGAAUAAAGAUCUCCAGCUGCAAAUCUUACGAGCCUCUGAACAUGGGAACAGAAGCAGGGAAGAAUAUAGCACUUUUUUGUGCUUCAGUGACUAGCAGAAAGAUAAGAAAUUUAAGGACUGGUCAAGUCAAUGUGCAUGUGUCUAGUAUGCUUUUCUCUGUCAGUCUACAUGAACGGACAUUUCAGGCCUCAAAUGCUCUUUGGGCCCAAUUAGGCAGUGGUAAUUUACUUGGUGCCACUGCUGUCACUUUCAUUUUGAUGCUCUUGUAAAUAAAUUCCUUAAAAAAGGGGCAGUGAUUAUUUAUUCAAGCCUGAAAUUUUCAGAACUCUUGCUUUAUGGCAAAAUAAUCAAAUGUCAAACUCUGACCUGACUUGGCACUCUGCACAGUUACAUACUGAAAUACAUGUGCACAUAUGUAGCAUUAAAAACAGUUAUCAGAGGAGGGGGGCAGGCACCAUGCUGGCCCCUGGCAAGGUCAGGAAAAUGCGACAAGAGGGGAUAUCUUCCCCUGGAGCUGACACAUCAUCAUCCCUGCUCAGUGCUGUGAGAGGACACUAGCCAGAAGAUGCAAUAGACUCUGUUUUGCACCUCUUGCAACCCAUUUACACCUGACUGAAGAGAAAGGGAAGUGUAAAAUGCCACCCACUUUGCACAGAUGGAAAUGACUGCAUAUGGAGAAGGUGCUGAAGGAAGCAGGCUGGAGGGAGGGAGGUAUCACCCAUGUAUCGUUAACCUAAAGAGCUGCACACCGAGAUCUGCAGAUGUGGAAGUGCUAGAGAAGGCUUCUGGAGGACCAACUAUCAAGACUGCAGGGCUCAAACUGUGCUCAUGCAAUUACAACCUGUCCAAUUUCACCUCUGUGGUACUAGUUUUAUGAGUUUCAUAAACUCUCAGCCUGGAGGGGACAACUGUGAUUUUCUUACUUUUUAAUUGUGAUAUUAUUAUUUUUCUCAGCAAUUUUGAUUCUGAACAUGAAAAUUAUGUUUGAGGUACACUUUAAA